This 460-nucleotide ribosomal RNA is filed under the name uncultured bacterium. RNAcentral describes it as "partial 16S ribosomal RNA". It matches the Rfam family "Bacterial small subunit ribosomal RNA", at positions 338 to 795 of the family's 1533-position model. The record is from RNAcentral.
CCUACGGGUGGCAGCAGUGAGGAAUAUUGGUCAAUGGGCGCGAGCCUGAACCAGCCAAGUAGCGUGAAGGAUGACGGCCCUACGGGUUGUAAACUUCUUUUAUAAGGGAAUAAAGUGAGGCACGUGUGCCUUUUUGUAUGUACUUUAUGAAUAAGGAUCGGCUAACUCCGUGCCAGCAGCCGCGGUAAUACGGAGGAUCCGAGCGUUAUCCGGAUUUAUUGGGUUUAAAGGGUGCGUAGAUGGUAUGUUAAGUUAGUGGUGAAAGUUUGCGGCUCAACCGUAAAACUGCAAUUGAUACUGGCAGCCUUGAGAACAGUUGAGGUAGGCGGAAUGAGUGGUGUAGCGGUGAAAUGCUUAAAUAUCACGAAGAACUCCGAUUGCGAAGGCAGCCUACUAAUCCGCCACUGACGUUGAUGCUCGAAAGCGUGGGUAUCAAACAGGAUUAGAUACCCUGGUAGUC